This 1420-nucleotide long non-coding RNA is filed under the name Nicotiana benthamiana. RNAcentral describes it as "long non-coding RNA (NBEN_LNC011116)". The record is from RNAcentral. Lineage: Eukaryota; Viridiplantae; Streptophyta; Magnoliopsida; Solanales; Solanaceae.
CGUACUUAGUUUUGAGUCCAAGUGUUUUAAUAGGAAAAUAUUUUCUAAAAUUGGUGGCUUGGCCCACCGAAGUCAAAUGCCAGGUGAUGACUUUGAAUUUAUUUUUUUGAACAAAUUUUGUCAUUUUGAAAAUUAAAACCCUUUUCAAGCUUUUACUAAAUCUUUUUAUUUAUUUAAGAGGGCUGAGUAGAGUUUGGUUAUAAAGGGGUGUCACUAACAAACUUACAAUCUAUUUCCUCAAUACUUUCCAAACUACUACUCACAUUGGAUAGAAAUUUAGUUCCUAUAGCUUAUAGCAACUUUAGGAUAUUACUCUUGCAGAAUACCUCUGGUAUAAUCUUUCUUCAUUAUGACUUUGGUCGAUUUUGUCUUCUUCUGGAAAACUCUUCCAUUUCUCUCUUGGCGGACACAGUACAUGGCCCCUACUAGAGUCAUUCUGUAAAUAUCAGCUCUACUAUUUUUCCCCUUGAAAUGAGACACUGCCCAGGCCAACUCAUCCUCCCAAGCUAAAAUUUGUCGUACCAUUCCACUGUAGUAAUCUACUCCAUAUAGCAGCUGAAACAUGACAUUAGAAGAAUAAGUGAGAUAUGCUUUCCUGCUCUGUAUUAUAUGAUGGGCAAGUCUGAUAAUGAAUUAUACCCCAAAGUGCCAAUCUAUCUCUAGUGUAUAAUCUCCCAUUUGGGGGAGCCGAGGUUGUUGUACACUAAUCUUCUCCAAGUAGCUUCAGGUACAUAGCCUUUAUGGAGAGCUCCCCAAAUUCUGUAACUCUUGUUUACAAUAGCCAGCAGCCACCAGAUUAUCCUUUGCUUUAAAAAUCUUCAUUACCAUCCAUGAGGCUUGAUUAUAAUAGGCCUCCCCUUUUCCUAUAGUACUCAUGAAUCUAUUGCACCCAUACUUUGUCUUUCUUCCUACAUAAGUUCCACAAUGAUAUAUUCAAGAAGUUUAGGCCUCCUGCUGAGUAUGAAUUGCAUAAUUUCUCCCAAGCCAUCAAUGCUUUCCUGGAGAUCUCAUUGAAACUCAUCUUUAAAAUAUUGUUUGGUUAUAUAUUGCACUAAAGUUUUAAAGUUUAGUUUCAAAAUUUUUUGAAGAUGAGUUUCAAGUUUACUUUUUCAAGUAAAUAAUAUUUACUCAUGAAACUGGUAAUAUAUUUUCAAGUGAAAUAUACAUAUCCAAAUAUAAUUUAUUUUUAAAUUUUUUUCGACUUAACUUUAAUAAUUAUUAUUAUUAAGUAAAUAAUUUUUAAGUCUCACAUUUUUAAGUUCAAACCCCUGGCUAAAAAAAUUGAGUUUGAAUAUCUUUAAUUACUAGCUAGUGUACUUUUAUUUCCUCGUAAAAUAUCUCAACCAUUUUUUGGGGUUUUAUUUGAAGAGCCGAGUUUGACUUGGUACCGAUAAUAAUAAAGAAGGAAAUUCUUUUGAAA